RNAcentral lists this ribosomal RNA (500 nucleotides) under uncultured bacterium. RNAcentral describes it as "bacterial SSU rRNA". It matches the Rfam family "Bacterial small subunit ribosomal RNA", at positions 66 to 561 of the family's 1533-position model. The record is from RNAcentral.
GCUUGCUAUUUUUAUGAAGAGCGGCGAACGGGUGAGUAACGCGUGGGAAAUCUGCCGAGUAGCGGGGGACAACGUUUGGAAACGAACGCUAAUACCGCAUAACAAUGAGAAUCGCAUGAUUCUUAUUUAAAAGAAGCAAUUGCUUCACUACUUGAUGAUCCCGCGUUGUAUUAGCUAGUUGGUAGUGUAAAGGACUACCAAGGCGAUGAUACAUAGCCGACCUGAGAGGGUGAUCGGCCACACUGGGACUGAGACACGGCCCAGACUCCUACGGGAGGCAGCAGUAGGGAAUCUUCGGCAAUGGGGGCAACCCUGACCGAGCAACGCCGCGUGAGUGAAGAAGGUUUUCGGAUCGUAAAACUCUGUUGUUAGAGAAGAACGUUAAGUAGAGUGGAAAAUUACUUAAGUGACGGUAUCUAACCAGAAAGGGACGGCUAACUACGUGCCAGCAGCCCGCGGUAAUACGUAGGUCCCAAGCGUUGUCCGGAUUUAUUGGGCGU